This 1031-nucleotide long non-coding RNA is filed under the name Populus trichocarpa (black cottonwood). RNAcentral describes it as "long non-coding RNA (PTRI_LNC000119)". The record is from RNAcentral. Lineage: Eukaryota; Viridiplantae; Streptophyta; Magnoliopsida; Malpighiales; Salicaceae.
CUGCUGUUCUCUGUCCAUUCACCAUAAUCCAUCCUGAAAUAAAUCAAUGAAGCGCUUGUGACUGAAUCUACAUUCUCAAAACCCUUUAUACACAUUGAUGAAUGUAAUGAAGUGUUCGAGGAUGGAAAUGAAUUCCUACCCCACAACAAAAACCGCAUAUCCACUUAGGUGAUAGCUAUGCAUCUUGGUGUCAUUGUUCUGCAGAAUGACUUCCAUAAAUCCCCUGUAUGUUCCAUUGAUCACUGAUGUUGCCAUUUUAGGUGGUCCUGUAAGGGGCGUCUCAGGGAAAUCAAGCUUAUACGCACCCUUCACUUUGAACUGGUCUGCAAGCCUGAUUGGAGUAGUAGGAUUGACAAAUGAUAUCCCACUGAGAGUUGCUCGUCUUUUCCCGUUAAUUGUUACCAGAGGCUUAUUUUUCAACACGUAAACAUCGGUCACAUUGAUUGAGCCAUAUCUGAAUGAGCCUUGAGGGUUGGGACGUGCACCACUUGCAGAAACAUUCCAUCUGCACAGUUUGACCGUAGAAUCCUCACAGUGAAUUAUAACGAGCAAAGUUUAUAAUAAUGUGAAAAUUCUCUAAUACAGAAAUGCAAUUCCGUUAAAAUUUGAUUGCAAGGUUAUAAUACAAUAUUUUCCUUUGGAGCAGCAAGGAAUAAGUAGCUUAUUUGAGGUCCUAAUUUUUCAAAAUUUUGAAGCACACAGUACUUUUUUCUCAAAUCCCAGUUCCUUUUCUAUUUAUAGGGAAAGAUGAAAUUAUUAAUCAGAGCACUCAUUAAGUUCAGAAUUGCUAAACAAUGCAGUAAGGCAUUUUAACCACCAUAGAAGCCAACCUGAUGGAUCUUGCUUGGUUCAUUGAGAAGGUUUUGUCAAACUCAUCAUUAGGUGCCUCUGGAAGGGGACCCUUUGCCUUCCCCUUGGAAUUUGUGUAAUGCAAGAUUGCAACACCAGUAACCCUUUUCCACUGCGAUUCAUUCACAAACCUUGCACUAGCUACAAUGUAGUAAUCAGUACUUGCGUUCUGAUCCAUUGUC